RNAcentral lists this unclassified non-coding RNA (253 nucleotides) under uncultured Parcubacteria group bacterium. RNAcentral's name for it is "contains 16S-23S intergenic spacer region". It matches the Rfam family "Bacterial small subunit ribosomal RNA", at positions 524 to 776 of the family's 1533-position model. The record is from RNAcentral.
UACGAGAGCCCCGAGCGUUAUCCGGAAUUACUGGGUGUAUAGGGUGCGUAGGUGGCUGUAUUAGUCUUUUGUUAAAUCUUUGGGCUCAACCCAAAAAUCGCGAAAGAAACGGUACAGCUUGAGAAUGUGAGGGGUGUACGGAACUCAUGGUGUAGGGGUGAAAUCCGUUGAUAUCAUGGGGAACACCAAAAGCGAAGGCAGUACACUGGCACAUAUCUGACACUGAGGCACGAAAGCGUGGGUAGCGAAUGGG